Molecule: ribosomal RNA, 253 nt
Filed under: uncultured bacterium
Lineage: Bacteria
Description: partial 16S ribosomal RNA
Rfam family: Bacterial small subunit ribosomal RNA
Source: RNAcentral
UACGGAGGGUGCAAGCGUUAUCCGGAUUUAUUGGGUUUAAAGGGUCCGUAGGCGGAUCUGUAAGUCAGUGGUGAAAUCUCACAGCUUAACUGUGAAACUGCCAUUGAUACUGCAGGUCUUGAGUGUUAUUGAAGUAGCUGGAAUAAGUAGUGUAGCGGUGAAAUGCAUAGAUAUUACUUAGAACACCAACUGCGAAGGCAGGUUACUAAGCAACAACUGACGCUGAUGGACGAAAGCGUGGGGAGCGAACAGG